GGUUUAAUAGCUCAGUUGGUUCAGAGCACCUGCCUUACAAGCAGGGGGUCCAAGGUUCGAAUCCUUGUUAGACCACCA
RNAcentral lists this transfer RNA (78 nucleotides) under Arcicella sp. Its description in RNAcentral is "tRNA-Val". It matches the Rfam family "tRNA". From Rfam's summary of the family: Transfer RNA (tRNA) molecules are approximately 80 nucleotides in length. Their secondary structure includes four short double-helical elements and three loops (D, anti-codon, and T loops). The record is from RNAcentral. Lineage: Bacteria; Pseudomonadati; Bacteroidota; Cytophagia; Cytophagales; Flectobacillaceae.